Molecule: ribosomal RNA, 492 nt
Filed under: uncultured bacterium
Lineage: Bacteria
Description: partial 16S ribosomal RNA
Rfam family: Bacterial small subunit ribosomal RNA
Source: RNAcentral
AGUGAACGCUGGCGGUAGGCCUAACACAUGCAAGUCGAACGGCAGCACAGUAAGAGCUUGCUCUUACGGGUGGCGAGUGGCGGACGGGUGAGGAAUACAUCGGAAUCUACUUUUUCGUGGGGGAUAACGUAGGGAAACUUACGCUAAUACCGCAUACGACCUACGGGUGAAAGCAGGGGAUCUUCGGACCUUGCGCGAUUGAAUGAGCCGAUGUCGGAUUAGCUAGUUGGCGGGGUAAAGGCCCACCAAGGCGACGAUCCGUAGCUGGUCUGAGAGGAUGAUCGGCCACACUGGAACUGGAACACGCUCCAGACUCCUAAGGGAGGCAGCAGUGGGGAAUAUUGGACAAUGGGCGCAAACCUGAUCCAGCCAGACCGCGUGGGUGAAGAAGGCCUUCGGGGUGUAAAGCCCUUUUGUUGGGAAAGAAAAGCAGCAGGUUAAUACGCCGCUGUUCUGACGGUACCCAAAGAAUAAGCACCGGCUAACUUCGUG